RNAcentral lists this ribosomal RNA (896 nucleotides) under Blackwellomyces cardinalis. Its description in RNAcentral is "LSU rRNA". It matches the Rfam family "Eukaryotic large subunit ribosomal RNA", at positions 38 to 964 of the family's 3401-position model. The record is from RNAcentral. Lineage: Eukaryota; Fungi; Ascomycota; Sordariomycetes; Hypocreales; Cordycipitaceae.
GCAUAUCAAUAAGCGGAGGAAAAGAAACCAACAGGGAUUGCCCCAGUAACGGCGAGUGAAGCGGCAACAGCUCAAAUUUGAAAUCUGGCCCCCAGGGCCCGAGUUGUAAUUUGUAGAGGAUGCUUUGGGCGCGGCGCCUUCCGAGUUCCCUGGAACGGGACGCCAUAGAGGGUGAGAGCCCCGUCUGGUCGGAUGCCUAGCCUCUGUAAAGCUCCUUCGACGAGUCGAGUAGUUUGGGAAUGCUGCUCAAAAUGGGAGGUAUAUGUCUUCUAAAGCUAAAUACUGGCCAGAGACCGAUAGCGCACAAGUAGAGUGAUCGAAAGAUGAAAAGCACUUUGAAAAGAGGGUUAAAAAGUACGUGAAAUUGUUGAAAGGGAAGCGCCUGUGACCAGACUUGGGCCCGGUGAAUCAUCCAGCGUUCUCGCUGGUGCACUUUGCCGGGCACAGGCCAGCAUCAGUUCGGCGCGGGGGAUAAAGGCUUUGGGAAUGUGGCUCCCCCGGGAGUGUUAUAGCCCACUGCGUAAUGCCCUGCGCCGGACUGAGGUACGCGCAUCGCAAGGAUGCUGGCGUAAUGGUCAUCAGCGACCCGUCUUGAAACACGGACCAAGGAGUCGUCUUCGUAUGCGAGUGUUCGGGUGUCAAACCCCUACGCGUAAUGAAAGUGAACGCAGGUGAGAGCUUCGGCGCAUCAUCGACCGAUCCUGAUGUUCUCGGAUGGAUUUGAGUAAGAGCAUACGGGGCCGGACCCGAAAGAAGGUGAACUAUGCCUGUGUAGGGUGAAGCCAGAGGAAACUCUGGUGGAGGCUCGCAGCGGUUCUGACGUGCGAAUCGAUCGUCAAACAUGGGCAUGGGGGGCGAAAGACUAAUCGAACCUUCUAGUAGCUGGUUUCCGCCGA